ACACAUGGAGCCGCCAGAGUGUCUCCAGACUACGCGAGCAAGAAACCAUGCCGCUGCAACUCUACAUAUGCAACAAAGUGAGGAAACAAUACUGUUCACUGAAGCAUAUCAAUUAUAAAAAUAAAAAAGCGACACGAAACAAUUGUACCAACAACAACAACAAUUUAAUCAAACAAUGCCUGGGGUACACCUCAUUUUCAAAAAAUUCAGAAUAACAUAUUUGUACUGUCUUCUAAAAAAGACUUUGACUGAAAAUAUUUUGAAUGCUUUUGCCAAUAAAAAGGCUAGAAAAGUCUUUUUCUGAAAGAGUAUAAUGUAAUUGCCUAUUUUGCCUUUCUUAAUAAUAACAACAUCGACUGUGCCUUAAAUUUGUUUUAUAGCAAGUAUUAAAUGUCUUUUUUUUGGUUUGUAUAUAUGUUUUUUUAUGAAAUAUAAAACCCAUCAAUUUUA
Non-coding RNA from Styela clava, 450 nucleotides. NCBI's taxonomy places the organism in Eukaryota, Metazoa, Chordata, Ascidiacea, Stolidobranchia, Styelidae. The record is from RefSeq and is a predicted model, not a curated record.